Molecule: non-coding RNA, 3084 nt
Organism: Misgurnus anguillicaudatus (oriental weatherfish)
Lineage: Eukaryota; Metazoa; Chordata; Actinopteri; Cypriniformes; Cobitidae
Source: RefSeq, a predicted model, not a curated record
ACGGGAGUCAAAUGACAUAAAAUAGUAGGCUAUUCAAUAUUGCAGUCAGUAGCCUGUGUCUUUAGCAAAGGGACUUCGUGAUGUCAGCAUACUAUACAAAUACAAACAAAUGGGAGGGUCCAAAUUUUCAGGUAAUAAGAGACAGCUGACAGCGGACAGUUGUCUUUCAGUUGUCUCUGUUCAAGAGUGAUGGCGGGGUAAAGGACAAGUUUAACAUGCGAGAAACUUUGAAGGAAUAACAAAUCACUGGACCUUACGAAUACUGCAAGCUCAAAAGGCAUAUUGACUGGGCUCAACUUAAUACGGAGCAAACAAGAUAAAUAUGGACUUAGACUUGGACGAUAACAUGGUGAGCACACAAAAAGGAGUCAACAAUGUGACCUGCUGGGUAUGAAGAAAAUUUUCAUUAUAUAGAGUGACCAGCGGGUCAUCAUUAUAACAAAGGUCACACAACUUUCCAUUAAAGAGAUUUGAAUCAAGUGUAGAAGCAGCCUGUCAAUAAAUAAUAUGGCUUGCCUCAAUUGUCUCAAAAUCAAUGUUCUCCGAGUUUUUCCAUAAUAGGAACUGGAAUUAAAUCAGAUUUUCUUAUCGAAGCCUAAACAAGAAAAAUCUUUGAUAAAUCCCCAUGAGCCAUCAUUUCCAAAGAGAAACAGAUCUGUGAAAGUAGACACAACUAUUCAUUUAAUGUUCUCAGGGAAGAGCAGACUGCAUUGUUUACCUACUGUAUAAUACAGUACUUAUCAAAAUUCAGGUAAACAAGCUGUAAAUGUUAUCGAUUUCGACACAGGCAUGGAGUCUGUCACAAAGCGUCUGCUCAAGAUCGUGAUAAAAUUGUUAGAGAGCACCAAUGUAACUAAAGGCGACAUCAAUUCCUACUGCUAUCUUCAAACAAAUACUGGAGUCCUUAAUUGAACAACCACAGACGUUGACUUUUCCUCACAAUGAAUCUGACCUCCAAACUCCUGGAUCUCAUGCUGGAAGCUUCCAACCUCUCUCGCUGGCAGUUUAUACAGGAAUACUCAAUCCCGCCUUUGGUGGCAGUGCCCAGACUCCCAAGCGCCCUUCUUCCGGUCUUUGGUCUGCUGUAUGUGCUCAUCUUUGGGCUUGCGGUGGUUGGAAACGGAUCUGUGCUGGUCCUUUUAUGUCGUAGGAAGGCUCUGCAGUCUCCCAGCACUUUCUUCAUUUGCUCUCUGGCGCUCAGUGAUCUUCUCAUCUCGAUUGUAUGUGUUCCUGCAACACUCUUACAGCACUUCUUCAGCAACUGGUUGGCAGGGGAUUUUCUUUGCAAGUUAAUACCAUUCCUUCAAGUGACAGCCAUUGCGACAAGCAUGCUCACCAUGACAUGUAUCGCUGUUGAACGUUUCCAGGGUAUCCUUUAUCCCCUGCAUGUACGCAACAGCUACUUUUUAUGUCAUGCCUUCAAGAUGCUGGUAGGUGUCUGGAUGGUUGCUCUCAUAAUUGCAGCUCCCAUGUUGUUUGUCCAGAAAGUGGAGGUGAAAUAUGACUUUCUGUUUGAUGUCCACCACACUUGUUGUUUGGAAGUAUGGCCAAGCCAGCAGCAGAGGAGGGCUUACACUACCUGUCUGUCAGUUCUGGUUUUCCUAGCCCCCUUGGUGACCAUGGGCGUCUUGUACUGGAAGAUUAUAAAAGAGCUUUGGGGCAAGCACAAAGUUCAUGACGUCAUGUUUCAAACACUUCCAGGAUCUGAAAUCAACAAGAUUACCAGGAGAAAGAAACGUGCUAUAAGAAUGAUGGCCACUGUGGUGCUGCUGUUUGCCGCCUGCUGGGCUCCUUUCCAUCUGGUUUCUUUGCUGCUCGACUAUGGUCAACUAGACCUCGAUCUCGACACGGAGUUUCUCCUGGUCAGUGUGGUUCAGAUCCUGGGAUUCAGUAACUCGGUGUGCAACCCGCUGGUUUACGCUGCCCUUAAUACGACCUUCAAAAGAGACUUGCUGGCUUUGUUCAACCGAAGACGAAACACGGGUGGAGGUUGCUGCUGCUUCUGCAGUGUCUCUGGUUCCUGUCAGGUCAGGAGAAGCCACAGGCGAGUCGGCGUCUCUGCAGUGGAGUCAGUGGAACCAAGACAAGGCCUGGAGACGACGAGUAGACAAGGAGGAAUUAGAUCAUGGAGCAAACUGGCAUGGGAACCCGAGGCAGAAAGACCUAAGUCCAAUCUGUUCCCCCACAUGUUUACUGGCAUCACGUCUAAAAAGUGCUCCAGUACUAUGAUUUUAAGUGUUAUUGACCCACCGCACACAGACAGCACGUCUGGAUCUGACCAACCUCUAACGGUGAUGCUAGACGGGUGAAUGUAUUGGAUACCUGCCCGGAUACCUGGAUUUGCUCAGAUGUGAACAGACCAUCAGUGAUUCACGUCAUCACUUUGAUGCUCUUUUGGAAAUGUUGGCACAAAAGUUGGCGUGUCUGUAAACUUUGCACAUGGAAAAUCAAGGCAGUGAAAAUCUCACAUUAAAAAGACAUCAUGACUUUGCCAGCAGAAUCCUUCUCCAGCCUGAAUUUACCCUACGGAUAAUGAUAAGGAUGUUCAAACAGGGAACGCACAUCAAAUGACUUGCAGCUGCUGAUAUUCAAACCUUUGAAGAAUCUGUGGCUCGCUGCCCUUUUAAGAGCUAAGGUUAUAUAAAUUGUAAUUAUAUAUAAAUGAAAACAAUGUCUCCGACAUGUGAACAUCUCAUUUGGUCAAGGCAAAACUAGCGACAUGUUAUGGAUCUGAGCAAUUCACUGAGGAUGAUGUUCAGCCUCUUACCUUUGAUUUCUGUCUCCAUGGGGUUAGGCUCAAGUCUGCUGGAAGUCAUUGGAGUUAAAGUUUAUUCAGCAGGGGUCUGCAGAUUGCUUUGGAGAUGCCUAAAUGAGAGUUAAGUGCAUUGCAUCCACCAUGAAGUGGAGGUGGAUUUACAUUAAAGUGGCAGAAAACACAGAGGGGAAGUCUGGCAAAGGGGCCCACAGCCCACCAGAACCAUAAUAGUCUGAGGAUGUUUGAUUUUGAAUGAUAAUGUAUAUUAUAUUUGUAUAUUUGAAAGCUUGUAUAUUUUUCUAUAGGAAUACAAAUGUCUAAAUUUGAGU